Molecule: ribosomal RNA, 253 nt
Filed under: uncultured bacterium
Lineage: Bacteria
Description: partial 16S ribosomal RNA
Rfam family: Bacterial small subunit ribosomal RNA
Source: RNAcentral
GACGAACCGUGCGAACGUUAUUCGGAAUCAUUGGGCGUAAAGGGUGCGUAGGCGGCGCGGUAAGUCGGGUGUGAAAUCUCGGAGCUUAACUCCGAAACUGCAUUCGAUACUGCCGUGCUUGAGGACUGGAGAGGAGACUGGAAUUUACGGUGUAGCGGUGAAAUGCGUAGAUAUCGUAAGGAAGACCAGUGGCGAAGGCGGGUCUCUGGACGGCAACUGACGCUGAGGCACGAAAGCGUGGGGAGCAAACAGG